RNAcentral lists this ribosomal RNA (440 nucleotides) under uncultured bacterium. RNAcentral's name for it is "partial 16S ribosomal RNA". It matches the Rfam family "Bacterial small subunit ribosomal RNA", at positions 338 to 795 of the family's 1533-position model. The record is from RNAcentral.
CCUACGGGAGGCAGCAGUGGGGAAUAUUGCACAAUGGACGAAACUCUGAUGCAGCAACGCCGCGUGAGUGAAGAAGUCUUUCGGUAUGUAAAGCUCUAUUAGCAGGGAAGAAGAUGCCGGUACCUGAGUAAGUAUCCCCGUCUAAAUACGUUACAGCAGCCGCGGUAAUACGUAGGGCGCAAGCGUUCUCCGGAUUUACUGGGUGUAAAGGGAGCUUAUUCGGUGUGACAAGUCUGAAGUGAAAGCCCGGGGCUCAACCGCGGGACUGACUUGGAUACUGCCUGACUGGAGUGCAGCAGAGGGAAGCGGAAUUCAUAGUGUAGCGGUGAAAUGCGUAGAUAUUAGGAAGAACACCAGUGGCGAAGGCAGCUUGCUGGGCAGUAACUGACGUUGAGGCUCGAAAGCGUGGGGAGCAAACAGGAUUAGAUACCCUUGUAGUC